RNAcentral lists this ribosomal RNA (497 nucleotides) under uncultured bacterium. Its description in RNAcentral is "partial 16S ribosomal RNA". It matches the Rfam family "Bacterial small subunit ribosomal RNA", at positions 28 to 507 of the family's 1533-position model. The record is from RNAcentral.
GAUGAACGCUGGCGGCGUGCCUAAUACAUGCCAGUCGAGCGAACAGACGAGGAGCUUGCUCCUCUGACGUUAGCGGCGGACGGGUGAGUAACACGUGGAUAACCUACCUAUAAGACUGGGAUAACUUCGGGAAACCGGAGCUAAUACCGGAUAAUAUAUUGAACCGCAUGGUUCAAUAGUGAAAGACGGUUUUGCUGUCACUUAUAGAUGGAUCCGCGCCGCAUUAGCUAGUUGGUAAGGUAACGGCUUACCAAGGCAACGAUGCGUAGCCGACCUGAGAGGGGGAUCGGCCACACUGGAACUGAGACACGGUCCAGACUCCUACGGGAGGCAGCAGUAGGGAAUCUUCCGCAAUGGGCGAAAGCCUGACGGAGCAACGCCGCGUGAGUGAUGAAGGUCUUCGGAUCGUAAAACUCUGUUAUUAGGGAAGAACAAAUGUGUAAGUAAAUGUGCACGUCUUGACGGUACCUAAUCAGAAAGCCACGGCUAACUACGUG